UAUAAAAUUUUGACAAAAUGUGUCUUUUCUCAAUAUGUUUGUUUUUCUUUCUUUUGUGCAACGAACCUGUAUUAAAGAACAUUGGCAGACUCACGUGAAUACGUCAUCACAACUGGUCCCCAGGCAAGGGGCUCCAAUUCAUUAUGAUUCAAGAUGAGGGCUCUCAUGUGGCACAAUGGUGGUGUCCCUGCCCCUGGACUGGAAGUUCUGGAUUCAAGCACGUGCUCCACAGGCUUCCAACUGUGCUGCAUAACAAUUCCACUUCCCUGUGCUGCUAACUGGAAUGCGGUCUCAUGAUUUUUCAGCCAAAAUAAAGGGUCCCCUGCC
Rhincodon typus (whale shark) is the source of this 327-nucleotide long non-coding RNA. RefSeq lists it as uncharacterized. The record is from RefSeq and is a predicted model, not a curated record. The transcript is spliced from 3 exons. Lineage: Eukaryota; Metazoa; Chordata; Chondrichthyes; Orectolobiformes; Rhincodontidae.